Non-coding RNA from Triticum aestivum (bread wheat), 133 nucleotides. The record is from Rfam. NCBI's taxonomy places the organism in Eukaryota, Viridiplantae, Streptophyta, Magnoliopsida, Poales, Poaceae.
GUAAUACUCCUCCAUCCGGAAAUACUUAUCAUCAAAAUGCAUAAAGGGAAUGUAUCUAGAUGUAUUUUAGUUCUAGAUACACCACUUUUUGUCCAUUUUGAUGACGAGUAUUUUCGGAUGGAGGGAGUAUGUU